AACGAACGCUGGCGGCAUGCCUAACACAUGCAAGUCGAACGAGACCUUCGGGUCUAGUGGCGCACGGGUGCGUAACGCGUGGGAACCUGCCCUUAGGUUCGGAAUAACUCCCCGAAAGGGGUGCUAAUACCGGAUAAUGUCUUCGGACCAAAGAUUUAUCGCCUUUGGAUGGGCCCGCGUUGGAUUAGCUAGUUGGUAGGGUAAAAGCCUACCAAGGCGACGAUCCAUAGCUGGUCUGAGAGGAUGAUCAGCCACACUGGGACUGAGACACGGCCCAGACUCCUACGGGAGGCAGCAGUGGGGAAUAUUGGACAAUGGGCGAAAGCAUGAUGCAGCAAUGCCGCGUGAGUGAUGAAGGCCUUAGGGUUGUAAAGCUCUUUUAACCGGGAUGAUAAUGACAGUACCGGGAGAAUAAGCUCCGGCUAACUCCGUG
RNAcentral lists this ribosomal RNA (433 nucleotides) under uncultured bacterium. RNAcentral's name for it is "partial 16S ribosomal RNA". It matches the Rfam family "Bacterial small subunit ribosomal RNA", at positions 29 to 507 of the family's 1533-position model. The record is from RNAcentral.